AAAGAAACCAACCGGGAUUGCCCCAGUAACGGCGAGUGAAGCGGCAAGAGCUCAAAUUUGAAAUCUGGCCCCUCCGGGGUCCGAGUUGUAAUUUGCAGAGGAUGCUUCGGGUGCGGCCCCCGUCUAAGUGCCCUGGAACGGGCCGUCAGAGAGGGUGAGAAUCCCGUCUUGGGCGGGGUGUCCGUGCCCGUGUGAAGCUCCUUCGACGAGUCGAGUUGUUUGGGAAUGCAGCUCUAAAUGGGUGGUAAAUUUCAUCUAAAGCUAAAUACUGGCCGGAGACCGAUAGCGCACAAGUAGAGUGAUCGAAAGAUGAAAAGCACUUUGAAAAGAGAGUUAAACAGCACGUGAAAUUGUUGAAAGGGAAGCGCUUGCGACCAGACUCGCCCGCGGGGUUCAGCCGGCACUCGUGCCGGUGUACUUCCCCGUGGGCGGGCCAGCGUCGGUUUGGGCGGCCGGUCAAAGGCCUCCGGAAUGUAUCGCCCUCCGGGGCGUCUUAUAGCCGGGGGUGCAAUGCGGCCAGCCCGGACCGAGGAACGCGCUUCGGCACGGACGCUGGCAUAAUGGUCGUAAACGAC
RNAcentral lists this ribosomal RNA (575 nucleotides) under Aspergillus anthodesmis. Its description in RNAcentral is "eukaryotic LSU rRNA". It matches the Rfam family "Eukaryotic large subunit ribosomal RNA", at positions 58 to 648 of the family's 3401-position model. The record is from RNAcentral. Lineage: Eukaryota; Fungi; Ascomycota; Eurotiomycetes; Eurotiales; Aspergillaceae.